RNAcentral lists this ribosomal RNA (253 nucleotides) under uncultured bacterium. RNAcentral describes it as "partial 16S ribosomal RNA". It matches the Rfam family "Bacterial small subunit ribosomal RNA", at positions 524 to 776 of the family's 1533-position model. The record is from RNAcentral.
UACGGAGGGAGCUAGCGUUGUUCGGAAUUACUGGGCGUAAAGGGCUCGUAGGCGGCCAACUAAGUCCGACGUGAAAUCCCAAGGCUUAACCUUGGAACUGCGUCGGAUACUGGAUGGCUUGAAUUCGGGAGAGGGAUGCAGAAUUCCAGGUGUAGCGGUGAAAUGCGUAGAUAUCUGGAGGAAUACCGGUGGCGAAGGCGGCAUCCUGGACCGACAUUGACGCUGAUGGACGAAAGCUAGGGGAGCGAAUGGG